CGUUGCAACAAGUUUGCAAACUUAAUUGUCAGACCGCGUAGACUUGACUAGUUUCCAUAUGCAAGUCAGAAGAUUGGGCUACCUCAGAGUGGCCCAUGGGACUUUUUCAACUACCUAGGUGCAGCACUCACCACCCUGACUCUGACUCAUUUGGCCUGGGGUGGAGUUCUUUUUUGUGGUACCCCACAUGGCUAAUGCAUUGGACCUGCUGGACAAGAUGAGUGAUAAUUCCUAGACAGGCUGGGCUGCAUGGCUUCUGAAAGCAAGACCUAUCCAAUAACAGCAAGUGAACUGAGGGUAUCACUUUCUAGUCUGCAAACUCUACAUCAUCAUUAUCAUCUAAAAGGCCCCUGAAGCAGGGUCUUCUGGUCCAGAUUUUCCCCGAAAGUACAACUAUAAACUCUGGAAACAACAGAAGGCACAAACAAAGGAGAACUUACAAAGUGGUAAGAAGAAGGCAUUCAAGGAUAGCAUUUGCUAUGUCCUCUCCACGCAACAAUCCCAGAAGUUCUCUCGGACCCGCAGAUGCUAUAUACCGCACAUAAAGGCAAAGUUGGGCUGUGUCCUUGAUGUCGCGUGACUCAUCUACCAGAAUUGAUAACGCUGAAGCUAAUUUAAUGUUAUAGACUUGUUGGUCACAUUUGAGGACGUUUUAACUGUCCUACCUGCUACUGUUUUGGCAAAUAACGGUAUGUUUUUAUUUUUAUUUAAAAUUUCUGCUUUGUUUUUGAAAUCCCGAAAAAGUUCUUCAGAUGCAUUAACAAAACAACAUUUUAUGCAUUCACCAUCUGUGAAUGGUUUUCCUCUCUUAGCAAUCUCCUGACUUGCUACGAAGUUUGCAAUCUUAACAUUAUUGGCAGACUGUCUCCAAUAAUUAAAUACAGAACUUAAUUUUUCAACAUUUUUCUGAAGUUCUUCAACUGCU
Long non-coding RNA from Hipposideros armiger (great roundleaf bat), 925 nucleotides. RefSeq lists it as uncharacterized. Lineage: Eukaryota; Metazoa; Chordata; Mammalia; Chiroptera; Hipposideridae. The transcript has 4 exons. The record is from RefSeq and is a predicted model, not a curated record.